GCUGCGAUGGCCGAAUGGUUAAGGCCUUAGAUUCGGAAUCCAGUGGUGUUUUCCCGCGUAGGAUCGAGCCCUGCUCGCAGCG
Molecule: non-coding RNA, 82 nt
Organism: Pristis pectinata (smalltooth sawfish)
Lineage: Eukaryota; Metazoa; Chordata; Chondrichthyes; Rhinopristiformes; Pristidae
Source: the annotation of a RefSeq genome assembly